RNAcentral lists this long non-coding RNA (744 nucleotides) under Marmota monax (woodchuck). Lineage: Eukaryota; Metazoa; Chordata; Mammalia; Rodentia; Sciuridae. The record is from RNAcentral.
CUUUGUUUGUAUGUGGUGCUGAGGAUCGAACCCGGGCCGCACGCAUGCCAGGCGAGCGCGCUACCGCUUGAGCCACAUCCCCAGCCCCGAGCCUAUGUUUUUCUUUUUUGCAGGGCUGGGGACGGAACUGGGACCUCAUACUUGCUGGCAAGUGCCCUUCUGCUGAGCUAAGCCCCCGCCUUCUGUGAGCCCUUUGCCUAGGGACAGGGCCCUAGGCCAUGCAGGGCUAAUCCUCCCACUGUCCCCUGCUCCCUCCACAAGACCGCACAGGCCUAAGGCGACACCUCUUUGUAGCUUUUGGGUCUUCUCAAGAAGCCACACCAAUGAGGUCUCCCAAUUCUAGGGACUGAUGGGAGGUCACCCAGAAAUGUGGUUCUACCCAGAAAAGAUGCUAGAAAAAAAUAAGUGCUGUCACGGCGGUGUCCUAACAGAAAGGACCUGUGAGUCCAGGGACAGCCAGAGCGUCCUUGUGAAAUGGAGGUGCGUCCUGUGCAGUGAACUUGGCUCCGUGGACAACGUGUUCCAUUUCCGCGGGGGCUGGUGGGAGGGACAUGUGGUCAGGGUUGUUUCUCUGGCCUGGAGGCCUCGGGGUGGUGACGUCCCUGGACCCAACCCCUCUGGUGCUCUUGGCCACCUGGACUCCUGAUGGAACUGCACUGCCCCGAAUGGCUCUUCUUGGUCACACCCUUCCGGCCCCCUGAGCCUUGGAUGUCGCCACGCCACGGUGUCUGUGGCCAGCUGUUU